AAGGAAUAUUGGUUAAUGGGCGCAAGCCUGAACCAGCCAUGCCGCGUGCAGGGAGACGGCCCUAUGGGUUGUAAACUGCUUUUGUCAGGGAAUAAACCCCCGCUCGUGAGCGGGGCUGAAGGUACCUGAAGAAUAAGCAUCGGCUAACUCCGUGCCAGCAGCCGCGGUAAUACGGAGGAUGCAAGCGUUAUCCGGAUUCAUUGGGUUUAAAGGGUGCGCAGGCGGAUUGGUAAGUCAGGGGUGAAAUCCCACAGCUCAACUGUGGAACUGCCUUUGAUACUGUCAGUCUAGAGUAUAGUUGAAGUGGGCGGAAUGUGUCAUGUAGCGGUGAAAUGCUUAGAUAUGACACAGAACACCGAUCGCGAAGGUAGCUCGCUAAGCUAUAACUGACGCUCAUGCACGAAAGCGUGGGGAUCAAACAG
RNAcentral lists this ribosomal RNA (422 nucleotides) under uncultured bacterium. RNAcentral's name for it is "bacterial SSU rRNA". It matches the Rfam family "Bacterial small subunit ribosomal RNA", at positions 356 to 775 of the family's 1533-position model. The record is from RNAcentral.